RNAcentral lists this ribosomal RNA (1478 nucleotides) under uncultured Symbiodinium. Its description in RNAcentral is "partial Bacterial large subunit ribosomal RNA". It matches the Rfam family "Bacterial large subunit ribosomal RNA", at positions 656 to 2104 of the family's 2925-position model. Lineage: Eukaryota; Dinophyceae; Suessiales; Symbiodiniaceae. The record is from RNAcentral.
AAAUCCGGAGCCUUAGCGAAAGCGAGUCUUAAUAGGGCGUACAAGUCACUUCUUAUGGACCCGAACCCGGGUGAUCUAAUCAUGGCCAGGUUGAAGCUUAGGUAACACUACGUGGAGGACCGAACCCACCGAUGUUGAAAAAUCGGGGGAUGAGCUGUGAUUAGCGGAGAAAUUCCAAUCGAACUCGGAGCUAGCUGGAUCUCCCCGAAAUGCGUUGAGGCGCAGCGGUGACUAUGAGCUAUCUAGAGGUAAAGCUACUGUUUCGAUGCGGGCUGCGAAAGCGGUACCAAAUCGUGGCAAACUCAGAAUACUAGAUAUUGCCUUCAGUCAACCAGUGAGAUUAGUUGGGAUAAGCUAAUUAAUCAAGAGGGAAACAGCCCAGAUCACCAGCUAAGGCCCCUAAAUGAUAACUAAGUGGAGAAGGAUGUGAUAUUGCUGAAACAACCAGGAAAUUUGCUUAGAAGCAGCAAUUUUUGAAAGAGUGCGUAAUAGCUCACUGGUAAAGCGAUGUUGCGCCGAAAAUGGCCGGGACUAAGUUAUCUGCCGAAGCUGUGAUAUUUGUAUAUCUACAAAUAGGUAGGGGAGCGUUCUGUUCUCGGGUGAAGCUUUCACGUAAGUGUGGGUGGACGAAACAGAAGUGAGAAUGUUGGCUUGAGUAACGAAAACAUUGGUGAGAAUCCAAUGCCCCGAAAACCUAAGGGUUCCUCCACUAGGCUCGUCCAUGGGGGGUUAGUCAGGUCCUAAGGCUAGUUAAAUUUAUUUAAGUCGUCGAUGGCAAACAGGUUAAUAUUCCUGUACUGAUUUUAUUGGGAACCGAGGGACGGAGAAGACUAAGCUGAAACUGCUACUGGAUUUCAGUGGAAGCAUUUAGGUGUUGAGAGCUAGAACAAAAACUAUGCUUGAGCUAAGAUGUGAUCCCUCUAUCAUCCAUUGGAUGAUGGAGUCAGUGAUGUCAUACUUCCAAGAAAAGCUCGAACACCAUUAACAAUAAAAUCACCUGUACCUGAAACCGACACAGGUAGGUUGGUAGAGUAUACCAAGGGGCGCGAGAUAACUCUCUCUAAGGAACUCGGCAAACUGGCCCCGUAACUUCGGAAGAAGGGGCGCCCUCUUUAUUGUCAUAAAUAAUAGAGGGUCGCAGUGACCAGGCUCUGGGAACUGUUUAUCAAAAACACAGGUUUCCGCAAAGUCGUAAGACAAUAUAUGGGAGCUGACGCCUGCCCAGUGCCGGAAGGUUAAGGAAGUUGGUUAUUAAGUAAUUAAGAAGCUGACGACCGAAGCCCCGGUGAACGGCGGCCGUAACUAUAACGGUCCUAAGGUAGCAAAUUUCCUUGUCGUGAGUAACGACCUGCAUGAAACAUGGAACGAUUCGAUAGCUGUCUUGCGCACACAUCAUGGUGAAAUAUUCAUCAGUACGAAUGAUAUGCUGACUAAAGUUUAUUAACACUAAAGGACAAAAAGACCCUUUGAAGCUUUAU